Molecule: ribosomal RNA, 254 nt
Filed under: uncultured bacterium
Lineage: Bacteria
Description: partial 16S ribosomal RNA
Rfam family: Bacterial small subunit ribosomal RNA
Source: RNAcentral
CACGUAGGGGGCGAGCGUUGUCCGGAAUCAUUGGGCGUAAAGAGCUCGUAGGCGGCUCGGUAAGUCGGGUGUGAAACCCCCAGGCUCAACCUGGGGACGCCACCCGAUACUGCUGUGGCUAGAGUCCAGUAGGGGAGUGUGGAAUUCCAGGUGUAGCGGUGAGAUGCGUAGAUAUCUGGAGGAACACCGGUGGCGAAGGCGGCAUCCUGGACCGGUAUUGACGCUGAGACGCGAAAGCUAGGGGAGCAAACGGG